This 465-nucleotide ribosomal RNA is filed under the name uncultured bacterium. RNAcentral's name for it is "partial 16S ribosomal RNA". It matches the Rfam family "Bacterial small subunit ribosomal RNA", at positions 28 to 507 of the family's 1533-position model. The record is from RNAcentral.
GACGAACGCUGGCGGCGUGCUUAACACAUGCAAGUCGAACGGAAAGGCCCCUUUGGGGGUACUCGAGUGGCGAACGGGUGAGUAACACGUGAGUAACCUGCCCUUGACUUCGGGAUAACUUCAGGAAACUGGGGCUAAUACCGGAUAGGAAUCCUUGCUGCAUGGUGGGGGUUGGAAAGCUUCGGCGGGUUUGGAUGGACUCGCGGCUUAUCAGCUUGUUGGUGGGGUAGUGGGUUACCAAGGCUUUGACGGGUAGCCGGCCUGAGAGGGCGACCCGCCAACAUGGGGCCGAGGAGAGGGCCCAGCCUCCAACGGGAGGCAGCGGGGGGAAAUAUUGCACAAUGGGCGGAGGCCGGUGGAGGAAACCCGCGGGGCGGAAGACCGGCUUUCGGGUGGAAAACAGCUUUCAGAGGGGGCAAGCUUGUGGUGACGGUACCUGCAGAAGAAGCACCGGCUAACUACGUG